RNAcentral lists this ribosomal RNA (429 nucleotides) under Actinomycetes bacterium. RNAcentral's name for it is "Actinobacteria bacterium partial 16S ribosomal RNA". It matches the Rfam family "Bacterial small subunit ribosomal RNA", at positions 355 to 776 of the family's 1533-position model. Lineage: Bacteria; Bacillati; Actinomycetota; Actinomycetes. The record is from RNAcentral.
UAGGGAAUCUUCCGCAAUGGGCGAAAGCUUGACGGAGCAACGCCGCGUGAGUGAUGAAGGUCUUCGGAUCGUAAAACUCUGUUAUUAGGGAAGAACACAUGUGCAAGUAACUAUGCACGUCUUGACGGUACCUAAUCAGAAAGCCACGGCUAACUACGUGCCAGCAGCCGCGGAAAUACGUAGGUGGCAAGCGUUAUCCGGAAUGAUUGGGCGUAAAGCGCGCGUAGGCGGUGUGUUAAGUCUGAUGUGAAAGCCCACGGCUCAACCGUGGAGGGUCAUUGGAAACUGGGAAAGUUGAGUUCAGAAGAGGAAAGUGGAAUUCCACGGGCAUGGGUGAAAUGCGCAGAGAGAUGGCGGGACACCAGGGUCGAAAGGGACUCUCUGGUCGGUAACUGACCCUGAUGUGCGAAAGCGUGGGGAUCAAACAGG